GUCAUGUGGCCUAGUGGUCAUGGCAUCUGCCCGGUAAGCGGAAGGUCGUAGGUUCGAUUCCCAUCCGUUGACA
This 73-nucleotide transfer RNA is filed under the name Cordylochernes scorpioides. Its description in RNAcentral is "tRNA-Thr". It matches the Rfam family "tRNA". From Rfam's summary of the family: Transfer RNA (tRNA) molecules are approximately 80 nucleotides in length. Their secondary structure includes four short double-helical elements and three loops (D, anti-codon, and T loops). Lineage: Eukaryota; Metazoa; Arthropoda; Arachnida; Pseudoscorpiones; Chernetidae. The record is from RNAcentral.